GAUGAACGCUAGCUACAGGCUUAACACAUGCAAGUCGAGGGGCAGCAUGGGGGUUGCUUGCAAUCCCUGAUGGCGACCGGCGCACGGGUGAGUAACGCGUAUCCAACCUGCCCGCCACUCGGGUAUAGCCCAGUAGAAAACUGGAUUAAUCCCUGAUGGUCUCCUUUGCGGACAUCUGACGAGGAGUAAAGAUUCAUCGGUGGUGGAUGGGGAUGCGUCUGAUUAGGUUGCAGGCGGGGUAACGGCCCACCUGGCCGACGAUCAGUAGGGGUUCUGAGAGGAAGGUCCCCCACAUUGGAACUGAGACACGGUCCAAACUCC
RNAcentral lists this ribosomal RNA (321 nucleotides) under uncultured Prevotella sp. RNAcentral describes it as "bacterial SSU rRNA". It matches the Rfam family "Bacterial small subunit ribosomal RNA", at positions 28 to 339 of the family's 1533-position model. Lineage: Bacteria; Pseudomonadati; Bacteroidota; Bacteroidia; Bacteroidales; Prevotellaceae. The record is from RNAcentral.